RNAcentral lists this ribosomal RNA (465 nucleotides) under uncultured bacterium. RNAcentral describes it as "partial 16S ribosomal RNA". It matches the Rfam family "Bacterial small subunit ribosomal RNA", at positions 28 to 507 of the family's 1533-position model. The record is from RNAcentral.
GACGAACGCUGGCGGCGUGCUUAACACAUGCAAGUCGAACGGAAAGGCCCUGCUUGCAGGGUACUCGAGUGGCGAACGGGUGAGUAACACGUGGGUGAUCUGCCCUGCACUUCGGGAUAAGCCUGGGAAACUGGGUCUAAUACCGGAUAGGAGCCAUUUUUAGUGUGAUGGUUGGAAAGUUUUUUCGGUGUGGGAUGAGCUCGCGGCCUAUCAGCUUGUUGGUGGGGUAAUGGCCUACCAAGGCGGCGACGGGUAGCCGGCCUGAGAGGGUGGACGGCCACAUUGGGACUGAGACACGGCCCAGACUCCGACGGGGGGCAGCAGUGGGGAAUAUUGCACAAUGGGCGCAAGCCUGAUGCAGGGACGCCGCGGGGGGGAUGACGGGCUUCGGGUUGGAAACUCGUUUCGCUAGGGACGAAGCUUUUUGUGACGGUACCUAGAUAAGAAGCACCGGCUAACUACGUG